GGAUCUCCGUAGUGACCUGCGGAGGGAUCAUUACACAAAUAUGAAGGCGGGCUGGAACCUCUCGGGGUUACAGCCUUGCUGAAUUAUUCACCCUUGUCUUUUGCGUACUUCUUGUUUCCUUGGUGGGUUCGCCCACCACUAGGACAAACAUAAACCUUUUGUAAUUGCAAUCAGCGUCAGUAACAAAUUAAUAAUUACAACUUUCAACAACGGAUCUCUUGGUUCUGGCAUCGAUGAAGAACGCAGCGAAAUGCGAUAAGUAGUGUGAAUUGCAGAAUUCAGUGAAUCAUCGAAUCUUUGAACGCACAUUGCGCCCUUUGGUAUUCCAAAGGGCAUGCCUGUUCGAGCGUCAUUUGUACCCUCAAGCUUUGCUUGGUGUUGGGCGUCUUGUCUCUAGCUUUGCUGGAGACUCGCCUUAAAGUAAUUGGCAGCCGGCCUACUGGUUUCGGAGCGCAGCACAAGUCGCACUCUCUAUCAGCAAAGGUCUAGCAUCCAUUAAGCCUUUUUUUCAACUUUUGACCUCGGAUCAGGUAGGGAUACCCGCUGAACUUAA
This 553-nucleotide ribosomal RNA is filed under the name Alternaria alternata. RNAcentral describes it as "eukaryotic LSU rRNA". The stretch from base 199 to 352 matches the Rfam family "5.8S ribosomal RNA". Lineage: Eukaryota; Fungi; Ascomycota; Dothideomycetes; Pleosporales; Pleosporaceae. The record is from RNAcentral.